AUCCCCUCAUUUGUCAAAUGCUCUCAAACCCCUUCAGAAUCUCAUCCCUUCUCUGGCUCAGUUUCACCAGUGUUUAUGGCUUUUGAAGCUGCAAAACCCUGUACUCACCUCUCCCUACAUCCUAUGGUACUUUUGUUCGAAGAUCGAAACCUUAUCUUGAAGACUAUCGACUCAGAGAUCCUUCGACUGGAGUUUUACAGCCAUGUCCGGUCUCUCUCUGCCAAGCCUUGAUGCUGUGAGUCCUUUAUCGACUCAGAAACAGACCGUUCCUGGCCUUUCUCGUGUCUCUAUGGUUCUCUCUCUGAAACCCUAAUUUUCAACGUUUUAUCUGUGUCUUUCUUUACGAUCUUGUCUAGAUCCCAGUUAUUUUAUAAAUUUUCAAAGUAUUUCUCACACUUCUUCGUCGACUUUGUUUUCAAACUGUUCGCCUUCCUAAAAUUUAGGGUUUCUUUAAUUUCUUUGCUUUAUCUGCUCUAUUUUCAUUUCCUUUAAACUUUACUGUGAUUGCUGAGUAUCUGCUACUAUGGCUCCUCUGUAUUUUCUUUACUAUGGUAUUUCUAGGGUUUCCGAGUUAAGUGCUUAAAUGUAUUCUUUGUUUUUCCUUAUGCUGUUAUUCCUAAGUUUAUCUUCAUCUAGGCUUCUUCUUCAUACUCUAUAUGUGAUGGAAACCCUAGGAUUUAGGGGUUUUCCCUUUAUCUUUGUGUAAAUGCUUGCUACAUGCUUAAACCCUAACUGCUUCUGAAUUCCUACUUGUAUGCUUCUGCUCUUUGACUACAGGAUUUGUUCUACUAAUUCCAGGCUUGCAUGUUCGAAUUUGUGUACCUCUUUAUAUAGUAAUAUUUCCCCCCUUUCUGAAUAACCCUAAUUUUGGGAAAUUGAUUUUUCUUACAAACUUAUUUGAUUAUUUUAUUUGGACUUGCUCUUUGACUAAGUUCAGUAUCAAAUUGUAUCUCAAAUUUCUUGAUUCUCUAUGUGAUUGACUUGCCUUAUGUGUUAAACCGUGUGAAUUUAAAAAAACCUUACACGUAUUUACCCUUUAUUUUAUAACUUAUUCUUGAUUCUCUUCCCAAAAAUAUACUUGGUUUUUUUUACCUCAAGUUCGAUUCCUUAAUUAGAGGGAACCCUUUUCCCUAAUUGAUUAUGAUUGAUGUUAAAUUAUUUUCUUCCUUAUUGGCUGCUUACUUUCAAGCUAUAAGAUCCCACACCUCUUUUCAUUUCAACACGAACAAUCCUGAGUUCACUCACAUAAACACUCUCUCUUCUAUUCUCUAUUCUUCAUUAUUACUUGUCUUACUGCUUGAGUUUAGCCGGCUGAAAGCCAAGGCUAAGCUAUAAGGUCUCACCUGCUCUAUUUGCUCUACUGUUUGAGUUUUACAACUGGUAGGUUCCUAAUUUACAUAAUAACUCCAAACUAUAUGUUUAUUUACCCCUUCCCCCAUGUCUAUUUAUGUUCAGUAUGUAGUUAGAUUUCAGUAUGCACAUCCCUACCACAUAUCCCCAUGCUUUUGAUGCUAUAUAUGUGUAUGAUUACAUUAUUGUACAUCCCUUUCACCAAAGUCCCUUCUGUUUAACUAUGUUCUUUUUUUGUAUAAAUGCUUUCAUAUUUGAUCCCUUUCCCCAAACCCUUGUUUGUGUAUGAGUUGAGUUUUAGACUAGGAUGGCAUUCCAUUGCUAUUCCUAGUUUAGAACCAGGUUGUUCUCAACCUAUACUCAAAGUAAUCCCACUCCCUUAACCCCCCAUUAUGUGUUGAGAUUUGACUCGGGUCUGUUGGUGCCCUAAUCACCAUACAGGCCUAAGUCCGACCUAUUUCAAGUUUGCUCUUACUUGUUAAAACAAUGUAAAGGGUCAGGGGUAUGCCAGUCUCCCAUGGCUAGGUAUGACCACCUUUGCAUAGUCCUUCCUCUAAUCCUUCACCUUUACAAUUAUUCUUAGUCUCUUAAGUUCUGCCCCCCUUUGGUAAGACAUGCCUUGGGACCCUUGAGUUCCCUCUAAUCUCGGAUGCCUUAGGGAUGGUACUGCCACACUGCACUAUUCUGUUACUCUAAGCUAUUUAGGGUGUUAAGCACUGCCGGGAGUCCCUGAGAUUCCUUGGAACUUUGAAAAUACCUUAAGUAUGAGAAGGCCUUGGAAUCUAGAAUCCGGAUUUAGUAAAAUUCAUGGGUUGGACAUUAAGGUUGCUUCGAGACUCCCCGGGCCUGUUGUAGUUCGGAUGUAUUUGUCUUAUUUUUUCUUUAGUCCUUUCUUUCAAGUUUUUUUAAUAAUCAUGUAUACGAUUUGGGGAUAUUAGUGAAAGGGUGUGGGAAGGGCUUUAUUAUUUCUGCACAAGUCAAAUGGUAGAAACCAUAUUCAUAGGGUUCUACGCUUAAAUCACUUAGAAAGCAUGUCUAUAGCACUUGCAUAUUUUUGUAUUCAAAUGCAUAUAGAAAUCCUGCCUAUAGGACUUGCAUAUUUUCGCAAUCAAAUGCAUAUAGAAAUUCUGCCUAUAGGAUUUGCAUAUUUUUGUAAUCAGAUGCAUAUAGAAAUCCUGCCUAUAGGACUUGCAUAUGCGAUAGGCAAGUUGUAAUGUUAGACGCUCAAUUAUUCAUCAAUUCCUUAACAGCUUUUAAAAUCAGAAGCAUAGACAUCAUGCCUAUAAGAUAAAUUGUCAAACUCGCUCUAUUCGCUUGAUUAAUAAUAGUCAGUCAUCUAAGCCUUAAUGUUUCCAAAUAACGUUUCCCGAACACUGUUUAACUAUGCAUUCUUUUAAAACAUCAUAAGUCUAUGUUAUCUGUCUGUUUAAAAUAACUUCUACCCAAAGUGUUUUCUUUGAAACAGUCUUUUGGAAUAAUCUGCUUGCUCGAAUGCUUUCGCUUUACCUAUGCAUAAAAAAAAGCAUCUUGCCGCAGCAUUUUCGAAAUAGAUGUGCAACUCGCUUUUUCUCAAAUCUGCUUGUCUUUCUGAAACUUUUCUGCACAUUUUACUUAAACUGUCCACUUCUUUUUCAAAUCUCUUGUUUCCUCUACUGCUUAUUUUAAAGACUCCCCUGCCUCUUUAAAUACAACAACUCCUGAUAACGUGCCGGUGAAGCUCAAAGCAGAUUUUCUAUCCACCUUUAUGUGUUUAACUAAUCUAUUCGCGACCAGCUUUAAUAUUCAGACCAAAUCAGUAUUUGAAACUCGUGCUAGACUAAUAGCUAUUAUGGCCUACGGGUUUUAUAUCAGCCUUUUAACGUCCGAUUUGUAUACCUUUAUAUGCUAUUUGUUUUGCUUGAUGCUUAGUAUUUUUACCUUUGAAAACUCCAUAUAUGUCCUAUCUUUCUCUCCCCCUCUUAAGACUAGAAUUCCUAAUACCCCCGGACUAAUAAGUUGGGACGGGUACUAGAAUGCAAUAAGUAAAACCAGACCAAACACGCUUAAUACCUUAACGGGGUGGGAAGGGUAGAAUAUGGAGAUGAUGACGAUGCGAUAAUAUCAUAAAGCGACCCCUCUUUGGGAAUAUAACUAGAAUUCCUAAUACCCCCGGACUAAUAAGUUGGGACGGGUACUAGAAUGCAAUAAGUAAAACCAGACCAAACACGCUUAAUACCUUAACGGGGUGGGAAGGGUAGAAUAUGGAGAUGAUGACGAUGUGAUAAUAUCGUAAAGAGACCUCUCUUUGGGAAUAUGUGCGGGAUAUUGUAUUGAAUGAUUCAUAUUAUAGUCAAACCUAUGACCUCUUUCUCCUUUGCUUGCUCUAUUUAAACGUUUUUCCUAAAUUAAUGCUUUUUUUUUCAAACUAAUUCCCCCCUUAUGCUUAACUUAUACCCUUCCCCUUUUCAAAAGUUUCUCAAGUUGCUUGAAUGCUUUAUAUGUGAGCUUUAUUUGUUUAUUUGCCUUAUUAAAGUCACAAUUAGCACAGCCGCGAACUACACUAGUGGAUCUUGAGGGGUGCCUAACACCUUUCCCUCGAGAUAAUCUCAAGCCCUUACCCGAACUCUGGUUUUCCUUCAGAGUACUCUCUUCUUCUUAAAAGUUUCCUAAUGCACUAUAAUCAUUAGGUGGCGACUCUUCAAAUUCCAAUACCCAAUUCCCAAAUGAGAAUAAGGGUUUUUUUGUCCAUAAUGUCAUAAACCCGAUUUUGCUUCUUUUUAGUAGGGAAAAAGGGGCGUUGACAGAGUGCAAAAUGCUAUCAUAGGGACAUCAAACGCCCAAAUCCUCAGCUGAUGGUAGCCUGAUUGAUAAUCUAUCUUUGGAAACACCCUCGCACCUUGAAGCGUGUCGAAUAAAUCGUUGGUCCUCGGUAGUGGAAACUUGUUCUUUAUCGUCACCUUAUUUAACUGCCUGUAAUCGAUCCACAUCCUCAUCGACCAAUCCUUUUUCUUAACAAAUAACAUGGGUGCACCAUAAGGCAACGUACUGGGUCUAAUGAAACCCUUAUCAAGCAAAUCCCGAAGCUGCUUCUUUAACUAUUUCAACUCGAGCGGGGUCAUGCGAUAUGGUGGAUUGGAAAUAGGCAGAGUGCCCAGAGCGUAAUCAAUACAAAAAUCAAUAUCCCUGCCGGGCGGCAUACCCAGUAGGUCAUAGGGGAAAACCUCGGGGAACUCCCGAACAAUAGGAACAGAACCAAUGGAAGGAACCUCUGCGCUGGAGUCGUGAACAUACGCCAAAUGAGCUAAACACACCUUCUUAACCAUGCGUCAAGCCCUCACAUACGAUAUCACACUGCGGGUCGAAUAAUCUAAAGUCCCUCUUCACUCAAAAUAAGGCAAAUCUGGUAAAGCCAAGGUCAAAGUCUUGGUGUGACAAUCCAAAAUAGCAUGAUACAGGAACAACCAAUCCAUCCCCAAUAUGACGACGAAGUCUACCAUAUCUAAGAGCAAUAAGUCAACACGGGUCUCAAGACCCUCAAUUACUACCACACAUGAAUGAUGCACUCGGUCGAUCACAAUUGGAACCGCCCACCGGUGUAGAUACAUAAACAAGAAUACUCAAAGCAUCACAAAGCAUGAUCAAGCAUGGUGCAAAAUAGGACGACACAUACGAAUUCAUAGACCAAGGGUAAAAUAGCACUGCGGCAUCUCCAUCACAAAUCAGAAUAGCACCUGUAAUGUCUGCAUUUGAAGGAUCAGCCUCUAGCCUGGCCGCUGGCUGGCCUCUACCUCUGGCGGCCUGAACUCCACUUCUAUGACCUCUACCUCUGCCUAUAUGAUCUCUUCCACCACUUCUGACUGGCUGGGUAGGCGGGGGAAUCUCUGGUGCUCGAAUCCGAGUACGAGAACUCUGAUAGUGAGUGCUGCUCGAAGCUCUAGGGAAAAAUCUGACAAUUUCCCUCGAAUCACCACAAGCAUCGCAAAACCUCGCCUGCUGCGGCUGAGCACCCCUCAACCUUGAACAAACCCUCCUAUUGUGACCAUACUCACCACACUCAAAACAUCUACACAAAUGUUGCGGCUGAGGAAACUGAGUUUGACCCUGUCGACCUGAAUGAACACUUGAAGUACCAUGAGUGACAUAGGGAGUUGACUGAAAAGGCCAGGGAGAACGACCUCUACUAUAAGUACCUCUACCUCCAGACGAGGAAUCACUGAAUAUGCCUCCAUGACGAGGCCUCUUAUCCAACCUAUGACCGAUUCCCACUAGCAGUACCACCUCAAUCCUACGGCCCACAUUGGCCGCCUCCUGAAAAGUGGUCUCACUCUCGGCCUGAGCCACUGUACCUGGUUGACCUAAUACCGCUGGUUGAACUCCUAGAAGCAAACCCACUCGAAUGAUGCUCUCCACAAAGCUUACCAAUCUGACCAAAGCAUCCUGAAGAAUUGGGGUGGCUAUGAACCCUUCUGGGACUUGAGCUGGGUCGGCCGGAGCUGCUGGGGCAGGAACCUCCUCCUCAAACUCAACCUGGGGAUCCACCUCUAGGGCUGCUGCUCGGGGCUCGGGCUGCUGAGCGUUAGAUGAAGAAGUGUGUGUUCUCGCCAUCGGCGAAAGAAUAGAGUAGAAAUUCAAUCGGUGUUUGAGAAACGGAAACGCACAACAAGAAAGAACAAAUGUGAAGUUUUUCCUAACUCAAUAGCCUCUAGGGGAUAAAUACAGACGUCUCCGUACCAAUCCCUCAGACUCUAUCAAGUUUGUCCGUGUGUUGUGAGACCUAUGUAACCUAGUGCUCUGAUACCAACUUGUCACAACCCGGAAUUUCCACCAUCGGGAGUCGUGAUGGCGCCUACUAAUAAGAGCUAAGCAAGCCAAUUAUCAAAUACCUAUAUAAUGAGCAUCAACAAUAUUAACAAUAAUAAAACACAUUUAACAAUAAAGCGGAAGUCUCAACUAUAAUUUACUAAAAGAAAUGAGGAAGAUUAAUGAAACCUCUGCCCAAGACUAGUGUCAUAUUACUCAUGGACUUCUAGAGAAUACUAAAUACUUGGUUCGAAUGAAGCAUAAAACUGUCUACUACGGUACAAUGAUAACAAACUGGGUGAAAUAGAAAGGACUCCGGGCUUACGGGUGUCAACAAGGCUAUCUCGAAUGUCCCUCGACUAGGAGCUGGCUUCCGAAAUGCUACUGCUGCUCGAAUGCUGCUCUAACACCUGGAUCUGUGCAAAAAGAUGCACAUAGUGUAGCAUCAGCACAAUCGACCCCAUGUGCUGGUAAGUGCCUGGCCAAACCCCGGCGAAGUAGUGAUGAGGCUAGACAAGACCUACCAAAAAUAACCUGUGCAGAUAUAUAUGUAUAAGAGCAAGAAACAAUAACAAUAAAAUGCAAUGUAAAACUGGAAGGGGACAUGCAAUCGGGAAGUAACAAAUAAGAAAUGAGAUAUCAUAAAUAAAUAGCCGAACUGCCCCAAUAUUUCCAUGAUAUAUGUACACAGUGGAAGGCAUGCCACACGAUUUCAUAGAAUAGUAUAUAAGUGACGGCGCACGACAGGAUACCAAUUCAUCACAUAUAAGUGGAUGACGCACCACACGAUCCCAAUUCAUCAAACAGUGCGCCACACGAUCUCAUUUAAUAAUACAUAAGUGGACGACGUGCCGCACGCUCCCAUUUCAUUAUCAACAAAAUGCACAAAAUGCCACCGACAUCUAAGGCCAAUAACCAUAACCAAUAAUAAUUGUGGUAGGCGUACCACUCAUUCCCAUUUCAUCAUCUAAUCUGUGGUAGGCGUACCACUCGCUCCCAUUUCAUCAUAUAAUCUCUGGUAGGAGUACCACUUGCUCCCAUUUCAUCAUAUAAUUUGUUGUAGGUGUACCAUUCUUUGCCAUAUCAUCAUUAACACCAUGCACACUAUGUCACCGACAUCUAAGGCCAAUAACAAUAAUAAUUACAAAUCGUUGUAAGUGUACCACCCGCUCCCAUUUCAUAAUAUGUGAGUGGAUGUCGUGCCACACGAUCCCAAUCAUAAUAUCUCGUGGUUGGCGUACCACAAGAUCCCUUAUCUAUCAACACAAAACACAAAGUAACCCCAACAACGGAGGACAAAUAUUAUAAUAGAUUAUCCCGGCAAGGGAGAUCCAGCUAUAACCAAACUCAUUCAAUUCCUACCUAACACAAUUAAAUACAUACUUAGUCUCAACAAUUACUGGCUCGGCAUUAAGAUUUUCAACCAAUGCUUCGUAAAUAACAAUUAAGAAUUCGACAAUUUAAUAAUUUAAGACUCACGGUCAUACUCGACUCCGGUGUAUAGAUACUCAUCACCAUGACAAUACACCAUACUCAACAUGUAACAAUUAGAAAAUAAUACCCUAAUCCUAUCUCCUCAAGACAAAGUUAGAUCAAACACUUACCUUGAAAGCUCCAAACUCAACUCACGCCUCUAGUUUUACCCCUCGAAUUUGCCACAAAACAGCUCGAAACUAGUCACAAAUUACUCAAAUAUAUCAAAAAAUGCUAGUUAAAUCAAUUUGAAUGCAUAAGAAUGAAUUUCCCAAAGUUUUUCCCAAGAUUCUCAAAAUGCCCCCGGACCUACGUGGUCAAAACCCGAGGUUCGCUCCAAUGCCUGGUUACCCAUUCCCCCACGAGUUCAUAUCUAUGUUUUGUUUUGAAAUUGGACCUGAAAUUGAGGUCCACAUCCCAAAUUUAGUGAAAACCUAAGUUCUACCCCAAAAUCCCCAUUUUCACCCAUGGAAAACCUCGAUUUUAAGAAUGGAAACAUGAUAAAUGAUUUUAACGAUUGAAGAAGUUGAGUAAAAGUUGACUUACAAAUGAUUUGGAGAAGAUUGAGUUCAUGCAAAAUCGCCAAUGGGUGUUUGGGUUUUGAAAAUAUGAAAAAUGAAUAUUUUAAAUUGUCUAUGUAUGAAAUAUGUGAUGACCCGGCCUGUCAUCUUUGGAAUUUAUACCCCGUUCCCCCAUUAGUUGUUUCCCCUACAUUCAUUUCUGCUAUUUUGGUUUUUCGGGACGUUCAGUGUGAGAAUUCAGAGUGUUUUGGGACACAUAGUCCCUAGAUGAGCGUGUAAGUGUUGGAAAAUGGUCUGUAAUCAUAACAGUGUGAAGACGACCUCAAAAUGGAAGUCCGAUGGUUCUGUUAGCUCCGCUAGGUGAUUUUGAGGUUGGGAGCGUGUUCGGAAUGUAUUUUGGAUCUCUGUAGACAUUUAAGCUAGAAAUGCCGAAAGUUCGAAUUUUGAAGUUUCCGGUCCGAUUGUAAGCUUUUGGUCUGAAGGUCGAAACAGGAUUUCGGAAGUUCCUAUAGCACCGUCAUGUCAUUUGGGACGUGCGUGCAAAACUUAAGGUCAAUCGAACGAGAGUUGAUUAGGCUUUGAAUCGAAAGCGUUUUUUGGAUGAACUUGAAGUUCUUAGGCUUGAAUCUUUGAUUUGAUUGAGGUUUUGAUGUUGUUUUAGGUGCCUUAUGGAUUGGUGCAAGUUUGAAUGAGGUAUUAGGUGGGAUUGGUACUUUUGGUUGACGUCCCGAGGGCCUCGGGAUGACUUCGGAUGGUCGACAUAUGCAAUUUCUAAUGUGUGCAGCUACAUUUCUUAAGCCUUCUGGUAUUUGCGCUUCUGCGGGUUGAGAACUGCAAAAGCGGAGCCGCAGAACCGGCCAAGCCCACCGUAGAAGCGAGUUUGGACUCCUCUUCAAAAAUUGCAGAAGCGGUCUAGCCUCCGCAAAAGGCGGAACCGCAGAAGCGGUUCAUGUGUAUGCAAAAGCGGAAGCUGAGGUUUAAUGAGAAGUCGCAGAAGUGGCUCGGUGACCGUAUAUGCAGGACCAUAGAAGCGGUCCCUUAUCCGCAAAAGCAGAAAUGUCUAUUCAAAUUGAAAAAUCGAGGGUUAAGUUUUAAAUGUUGGAAAAUCAAUUGAGAGCUCGAGAGAAGGCAAUUCUGAGUGGGUUUUCAAGAGAAGAUUAUUGGGUAACAUUUCUAUGAUCCUUUUUAGUUAUAUUCCGUCGUUUUGUGGUUAAAUCCAUCUUUUAAAUUCGAAUUUAGGAUAAAAAAUUGGAUAAUUGAGUAAAACUUCCUUGGCCAAACUAUUGGGUUUUGAAGGGGCCUUUGACCUCCGAUUUGGGAGAUUUUUAUAUGGUUAGACUCGUAAGAGUACGAGGUUUCUAAAAAUGUGAAAAUUAUUAGAUUCUGAGAUAUUUUUCUGAGGGGCAUUUUGGUCAUUUUACCUAUUUUGCGCCUUAGCUUUAAUUUUAAUAGUGCAAGUAGUUAGUUGCGAUGUUACUUACAAUAUGUAAUUGGUUUGAAUAGAUUUGGGCCACUUGGAGUCGGAUACUCAUGGCAAGGGCAUUGUUUCUAAGUGAUUUUUGUACCGGUUCGAGGUAAGUGGCUUGUCUAACUUUGUGUGGUGGAACUCUUCCCUUAGGAUAUCUUGGAUGUUGUUUAGAAUUCCUUGUGCGUAAGGUGACAGGCGUUUACUUGUGCUAAUUGUUGGAAAUUGACCUUGCUUGACUUAUUUAGGCUGUGUUCCUCACGUAUUUUAACUGUUAUAAAUGCAAAUUGCACUUGUUUUAGCUUAGGGAAAGCAUGAUAGUUAUCUUACUUGUUCUAUUUGACCAUAUUUGCAAUACAUUCUCUACAUUAAGCAUGCUAGACUUUGGAUUCUACCUGUUGUCUUUACUUAGUAUUUGUACACUGUUGAAUUGUUUGUGUUUACGAUUGGGACUACGGGUUCAAAUUCCCGGGAGAUCCUCUGAUAUUGGUAUGAUGUACUACGGGUUAAAUUCUUGUGAGAUCCUCUAUUAUUGGUAUGAUGGACUACGUGUUCAAUACCCGGGAGAUCCUCUGAUUUUUGUAUGAUGGACUACGAGUUCAAUACCCGGGAGAUCCUCUGAUAUUGGUAUGAUGGACUACGGGUUCGAUUCCCGGGAGAUCCUCAGAUAUUGGUAAAAAUGGAUUGCGGGUUCAAUUCCUGGAGCUCCAUAUGGCAUCCUGAUAUUGAGUGAUACUUUGUUGUGUUAUUUUCUUUACGUAGUUUAAUUGUCGUUGACUUGCAGCUUCCAUUCUAUUUUAUUGUUGCUUUUCCUGUUUAUUCUCUUCCUUGCAAUGUUCAUUACUGUUGUUAUGUUAUUCUCAGUUGGGACAUGGCCUUCCUCGUUACUACCUAACCGAGGUUAGGCUUGGCACUUAAUAAGUACCAGUGUGGUGUACUCAUGCUAUUUUUCAACACAGUUUUGUUGUGUAGAUCCAGGUGCAUCCGACUAGGCGUAUCAUCAGUGAGUCCGGAGCUUUCUAUCGGAGACUCGAGGUAUAUCUGUUGCGUCUGCAGAGCGGAGAGUCUCUAUCCAUUCUAUCAUGUAAUAAUAGUACUGUUUUUCCUUUUUUUUCUCUGUUGUAUUACACACUCUUUAUAUUAGAGUUGUACUAAUGUUCUCAUAUCCUGUGUUGCCCG
This 10767-nucleotide long non-coding RNA is filed under the name Nicotiana benthamiana. RNAcentral's name for it is "long non-coding RNA (NBEN_LNC025119)". Lineage: Eukaryota; Viridiplantae; Streptophyta; Magnoliopsida; Solanales; Solanaceae. The record is from RNAcentral.